UGCCAGCCGCCGCGGUAAUACGGAGGGUGCGAGCGUUAAUCGGAAUCACUGGGCGUAAAGCGUGCGUAGGCGGCGCAGCAAGUCAGACGUGAAAGCCCUCGGCUCAACCGAGGAAUUGCGUUUGAAACUGCUGUGCUUGAGUCUCGGAGAGGUUGGCGGAAUUCCAGGUGUAGGAGUGAAAUCCGUAGAUAUCUGGAGGAACACCGGUGGCGAAGGCGGCUUGCUAGGCUGAUAUUGACGCUGAUGCACGAAAGCGUGGGGAGCAAACAGGAUUAGAUA
Molecule: ribosomal RNA, 279 nt
Filed under: uncultured bacterium
Lineage: Bacteria
Description: partial 16S ribosomal RNA
Rfam family: Bacterial small subunit ribosomal RNA
Source: RNAcentral